Long non-coding RNA from Trachemys scripta elegans, 1873 nucleotides. RefSeq lists it as uncharacterized. The record is from RefSeq and is a predicted model, not a curated record. Lineage: Eukaryota; Metazoa; Chordata; Testudines; Emydidae. The transcript is spliced from 2 exons.
UGCCUCCCAAACUUUUCAACACUGAGAAGAACCUGCAGAUGAAACUGUCUAUGAAAAAAGAGUGAAAUUGACUUUAUGGAUGUCCUUUGCCAUAACUGAGAGAAGGACAAAAAGGACACAAAGGUCCAAAUAUGCAAACUUGGGUGCCUAAAGUUAGGCAUCCAAAAUCAGUAUUUUAAGCACCUUAAUGAACGUGGGCUGAUUUUUCAGGGUUGUUGAGCAUUUGCAAUUAUUAUGGGUGCUCGGCACUUCUCAGCAGAGGGCCACUUUUAUUUGGGAAUUAUGGGUGGGAGUUAAGAUAAUGCCUAAGUGAUUUAGGUACACAUCCCAUUGGCUUUCAAUAGGACUUGUGCUCUCACAUCACUUAGAGUGGGAUUUUUGAAAACACCCAAGUUCCUGACUUUAGGCCUUCAUUUGGGAUAUAAGAGGCUGUUGUUCUGUCUAUCUAGCUAUUUUCCUUCUGAAGUCAGAGCACAUCUUUGUGAAGCAUUUGUGGAAAGUAAGAAUCUCCAGGGACUUGUUUCCAUAACAACCUCCUAGACUGUUUCUCUGUACCUUGUGACUUUGGCUACAAGCAAAAACACUGGCUAAAUAUUCCAAGUUCCCAGACACAAACAUCCCACUAUUACAGCUGUCUGGAAAAGGCUCUGGUGUGUGGGGGGGUGGGGGAGAUGGGGGGGGGGAGUCCCUGUGCUUACCAAAGAAGUCUGCUACCCACCCAAAUACAUCAAGCUCAAGACUGAUGUGUGUUACAAAUAUUUGAAGGCAACAUUUGAAAGCAGACAAUACAGGAAAUGGGAAGACACUCAAUCUGUAAAUCUUUGCAAACAGAGAGGUCAGUAGCCAUGGGAAGGGCAUCCUGAGACUGUCAGUCAAAUGGCUGGAGGGACAAAGGCCUGUGAAUUUGAAAUCAAUUGGAUGCCCCCUGACAGGAACCCUGAAAUAUAAAGCCAUGAAUUAAAUAAGAGUAACAAAACUUUCAAUUAUCUCAGCAGAAAAAGAAUCUUGCUGUUGAAGUGGCUAUUGAUUCUUUCCAAGCCCUUUUGCCGAAGAGAAUACUGUAGCCCUGGCUAUUUCCCUAAGGGAUAUUUUUGUACAAAAUCAAGCCAGGGCACAGCCCUUUUUGUUGUCUGGGGGAGGGGCGGAAGAAUUCUAAUGACAAUUAUUUUUUUGCCUCCUUUUGCCCUGCAGCAGUUUGGAAAUGCACAAAGAAUUGUUUUGUAAUGUUCCAAAGACAUUGAACUCUUGGGAGCUAAUGCACAGACACCCCCCGAGAGGAAAAUUUUAUUUCUUUCCUAUUGAAAUGUUACAACUCAGGCUUUUCAAGCAUUUUCCCCUGUGCCCUGCUCUUUGUGUUAGUAUCUACAGCUGGGGAGAAGACUCACUGCUGCUGUGGUGGUGAAAGUGAAUUGACUGGAAGCUUCUGCCAGGCCCAUCAGUUUAAUGUAGAAAGCUUCCUGUGGCAACAAAGAAGAGCGAGUCAAAGGGAAUUCAGUGCAGCAAGAACAAGGGCAGGGGGGAAAGUGUUUCUGCAGUGUGCUGGAGAGAACACAGAGUCCUCCUCAAAAGGAAAGGUGCAGACAGCUACCUCACCUGCUAUUGCAGAAGAACUAGCUUGUCUGGAAGAAGUAAAUCAAAAUCCAUGAAAGGUUUUUCACUCUGGGAUAAAGACUUAAAAGUGAGAAGGAAUACAACCAUACAAGACGGAAGCAUAGCUCACCAGUUAUUUCUGUCACAGAUUUGUAUUAGCUCUUCAAGCACUAAUGUGACUCAGAUGCCUGCAUCACACCAGUACUAAGCACUUCAAAUCUGGCAGGAUUGUUUUCUCAUGUAUUCUUAAUGGCAUCAUUAAAAAACCUAGUGUCUGAUCCUC